RNAcentral lists this ribosomal RNA (453 nucleotides) under uncultured bacterium. RNAcentral's name for it is "bacterial SSU rRNA". It matches the Rfam family "Bacterial small subunit ribosomal RNA", at positions 354 to 796 of the family's 1533-position model. The record is from RNAcentral.
GUGGGGAAUAUUGCGCAAUGGGCGAAAGCCUGACGCAGCGACGCCGCGUGGGUGAUGAAGGUCUUCGGAUCGUAAAGCCCUGUGGGAGAGGGACGAACAACUCGAGGGAACAAUACCCCUCGGGCCUGACGGUACCUUUCCAGAAAGCACCGGCUAACUCCGUGCCAGCAGCCGCGGUAAUACGGAGGGUGCAAACGUUGUUCGGAAUUACUGGGCGUAAAGCGCGUGUAGGCGGCUUGGCAAGUCAGGUGUGAAAGCCCUCGGCUUAACUGAGGAAGUGCAUUUGAAACUGCCAGGCUAGAGUACGGGAGAGGGUAGUAGAAUUCCCGGUGUAGAGGUGAAAUUCGUAGAUAUCGGGAGGAAUACCGGUGGCGAAGGCGGCUACCUGGACCGAUACUGACGCUGAGACGCGAAAGCGUGGGGAGCAAACAGGAUUAGAUACCCUGGUAGUCC